UCCUACGGGGGGCAGCAGUGGGGAAUAUUGCACAAUGGGCGGAAGCCUGAUGCAGCGACGCCGCGUGAAGGAUGAAGUAUUUCGGUAUGUAAACUUCUAUCAGCAGGGAAGAAAAUGACGGUACCUGACUAAGAAGCCCCGGCUAACUACGUGCCAGCAGCCGCGGUAAUACGUAGGGGGCAAGCGUUAUCCGGAUUUACUGGGUGUAAAGGGAGCGUAGACGGCGAUGCAAGCCAGAUGUGAAAGCCCGGGGCUCAACCCCGGGACUGCAUUUGGAACUGUGGGGCUGGAGUGUCGGAGAGGGA
RNAcentral lists this ribosomal RNA (305 nucleotides) under uncultured bacterium. Its description in RNAcentral is "bacterial SSU rRNA". It matches the Rfam family "Bacterial small subunit ribosomal RNA", at positions 337 to 659 of the family's 1533-position model. The record is from RNAcentral.